GAUGAACGCUGGCGGCGUGCCUAAUACAUGCAAGUCGAGCGAACAGACGAGGAGCUUGCUUCUCUGACGUUAGCGGCGGACGGGUGAGUAACACGUGGCUAACCUACCUAUAAGACUGGGAUAACUUCGGGAAACCGGAGCUAAUACAGGAUAAUAUAUUGAACCGCAUGGUUCAAUAGUGAAAGACGGUUUUGCUGUCACUUAUAGAUGGAUCCGCGCCGCAUUAGCUAGUUGGUAAGGUAACGGCCUACCAAGGCUACGAUGCGUAGCCGACCUGAGAGGGUGAUCGGCCACACUGGAACUGAGACACGGUCCAGACUCCUACGGGAGGCAGCAGUAGGGAAUAUUCCACAAUGGGCGAAAGCCUGACGGAGCAACGCCGCGUGAGUGAAGAAGGUCUUCGGAUUGUAAAACUCUGUUAGUUGGGAAGAACAAAAGUGUAAUUAACUAUGCACGUCUUGACGGUACCAAAACAGAAAGCCACGGCUAACUACGUG
RNAcentral lists this ribosomal RNA (497 nucleotides) under uncultured bacterium. RNAcentral describes it as "partial 16S ribosomal RNA". It matches the Rfam family "Bacterial small subunit ribosomal RNA", at positions 28 to 507 of the family's 1533-position model. The record is from RNAcentral.